Molecule: long non-coding RNA, 573 nt
Organism: Fukomys damarensis (Damara mole-rat)
Lineage: Eukaryota; Metazoa; Chordata; Mammalia; Rodentia; Bathyergidae
Exons: 5
Source: RefSeq, a predicted model, not a curated record
AGUGAAGGAGAAACUGGCUCUGCAGCACAAACUUGGGCGGAGUAAAAGAGGAAAAAGUAAGAUAAAAUUACACCCUGGAGGAAGCAGCCCAUCCUAUUGAAACUCUGCUCUAGUUCUCACAAGAAGUCUGAGUGCCGGGCUUUGGGAACUGUUCUAUGCAUGUCUUCCAGGAUCUUGUGAUUAAUUUUUCAGGCUGGCCUCAAAUUCUGGGCUUAUGUGGUCCUUCUGCCUCAGCCUCCUGAGUGCUAAGACCAUAGGAGCACGCCACCGUGUCUGGCCAAGCUCAACAAAUGCCUCUACUAUCAAUUGAACUGAGAAAACACAGAGCCAGAAGGUCAUCUCUGACACUAUCUCCUUUGCCUCUUAUACCCAGCUUAUUACCAAGGGGAAACAAAGACACAGGAUUAUGGAGCGAGUCAUCUAAAGUCAUGUUGGCAAGGAUGAAAGGCCAUGGCACCCUUAUAUUCAAGGCACCAUUGCAUAGGGGAUUGAAGACUAAAUCCAGGGAGAGCAUGGUGACAAUUAUAGAACAAGGUACUCACUCUGCAGUUGAGACUGAACUGGAACUCACUA